AGAGUUUGAUCCUGGCUCAGAGUGAACGCUGGCGGUAGGCCUAACACAUGCAAGUCGAACGGCAGCACAGGAGAGCUUGCUCUCUGGGUGGCGAGUGGCGGACGGGUGAGGAAUACAUCGGAAUCUACUCUGUCGUGGGGGAUAACGUAGGGAAACUUACGCUAAUACCGCAUACGACCUACGGGUGAAAGCAGGGGACCUUCGGGCCUUGCGCGAUUGAAUGAGCCGAUGUCGGAUUAGCUAGUUGGCGGGGUAAAGGCCCACCAAGGCGACGAUCCGUAGCUGGUCUGAGAGGAUGAUCAGCCACACUGGAACUGAGACACGGUCCAGACUCCUACGGGAGGCAGCAGUGGGGAAUAUUGGACAAUGGGCGCAAGCCUGAUCCAGCCAUACCGCGUGGGUGAAGAAGGCCUUCGGGUUGUAAAGCCCUUUUGUUGGGAAAGAAAUCCAGCUGGCUAAUACCCGGUUGGGAUGACGGUACCCAAAGAAUAAGCACCGGCUAACUUCGUGCCAGCAGCCGCGGUAAUACGAAGGGUGCAAGCGUUACUCGGAAUUACUGG
Molecule: ribosomal RNA, 560 nt
Filed under: uncultured bacterium
Lineage: Bacteria
Description: bacterial SSU rRNA
Rfam family: Bacterial small subunit ribosomal RNA
Source: RNAcentral